UACAGAGGGUGCAAGCGUUAUCCGGAUUUACUGGGCGUAAAGCGUGCGCAGGCGGUUUUGUAAGUCUGACGUGAAAUCCCCGGGCUCAACCUGGGAAUUGCGUUGGAGACUGCAAGGCUAGAAUCUGGCAGAGGGGGGUAGAAUUCCACGUGUAGCAGUGAAAUGCGUAGAGAUGUGGAGGAACACCGAUGGCGAAGGCAGCCCCCUGGGUCAAGAUUGACGCUCAUGCACGAAAGCGUGGGGAGCAAACAGG
Molecule: ribosomal RNA, 253 nt
Filed under: uncultured bacterium
Lineage: Bacteria
Description: partial 16S ribosomal RNA
Rfam family: Bacterial small subunit ribosomal RNA
Source: RNAcentral